AGUGAACGCUGGCGGUAGGCCUAACACAUGCAAGUCGAACGGCAGCACAGUAAGAGCUUGCUCUUACGGGUGGCGAGUGGCGGACGGGUGAGGAAUACAUCGGAAUCUACUUUUUCGUGGGGGAUAACGUAGGGAAACUUACGCUAAUACCGCAUACGACCUACGGGUGAAAGCAGGGGAUCUUCGGACCUUGCGCGAUUGAAUGAGCCGAUGUCGGAUUAGCUAGUUGGCGGGGUAAAGGCCCACCAAGGCGACGAUCCGUAGCUGGUCUGAGAGGAUGAUCAGCGACACUGGAACUGAGACACGGUCCAGACUCCUACGGGAGGCAGCAGUAGGGAAUAUUGGACAAUGGGCGCAAGCCUGAUCCAGCCAUACCGCGUGGGUGAAGAAGGCCUUCGGGUUGUAAAGCCCUUUUGUUGGGAAAGAAAAGCAGCAGGUUAAUACCCCGCUGUUCUGACGGUACCCAAAGAAUAAGCACCGGCUAACUUCGUG
Molecule: ribosomal RNA, 492 nt
Filed under: uncultured bacterium
Lineage: Bacteria
Description: partial 16S ribosomal RNA
Rfam family: Bacterial small subunit ribosomal RNA
Source: RNAcentral